This 13732-nucleotide long non-coding RNA is filed under the name Populus tremula. RNAcentral describes it as "long non-coding RNA (PTRE_LNC002751)". Lineage: Eukaryota; Viridiplantae; Streptophyta; Magnoliopsida; Malpighiales; Salicaceae. The record is from RNAcentral.
UUGUGAGCAACCAGGACAAAUGGUAUCUAGAUCACUUGGAUACUCGUUGGGAAGAGUUCUAUAAGAAUGAACCACUUACAAAUAUAACAAACCCCGAGCAACAGAGUUUAGUUCUUGGGGGGGAAGUAUGCAUGUGGGGAGAAACGGUGGAUGCGUCAAACAUUGAACAAACCAUAUGGCCACGUGCUGCAGCUGCUGCAGGUAUUUAUUGUAUAUCAUGUCAAUUGACAACGAAAUUGCUGAGACGUUGCAACAUAUUCAUAUUAAGUUAUCCAGUUUUCUUGUUUUCAAUACCAUGUAGUUGAUGGUCAUUGAAAAGGAUUGUGCAGUGACACAAACAAUAUUAUAAAUCUGAUUUCAUAUUAGCUUCCUAGUCACAUAAAUUGGUCACAAUCUUGGUGAAUUUACUACUGUUGAUCUUAAGGGUUCAUGAAACUAUACGCUUUGUGGAUGCUUCUGUGUAUUAAGAGAUCUGCCUUUCCAUCCCAAAGGUGGUUUUAGUUGAUACAUGGUUAUCACUGCUAACAUUCAUGGACCAAGGCAGGUGACUGGUAGUCUCAUUUGAAGAGGCACCAGAUGAUGCCUUGAGUGAUUUUUAGAGUUGACUAGUUUUGAUCUUUUUUAGAAUCCUCUUAAAGGUACUUCUUGAGAAACUUUUCCAUCAUUAUAGGAGAGAUAAAAACUUUAACUAUACAUCUUUCUUCCCUCUGUUUUUAAGCCCAGCAUGUCAAAUCUUCCAUUUUUUUGUUUCUGCUCUCUACUCAGCUUAAUCUUUCAUGCAAACUGUAUCUUCACUUCAAAAUAAUGAUUUUAUUCUCUCUGUUUUCUGUUCCUAUGUGAUUGAAGAGCGGCUAUGGACACCUUAUGACAAGCUAGCGAAGGAUCCAGAAAAAGUUGCUGGAAGGUUAGCGCACUUCAGGUGUUUGUUGAAUCAAAGAGGGGUUGCCGCAGCUCCUUUAGCUGGACCAGGCCGAGGAGCACCUAUAGAACCAGGUUCUUGUAAUGCACAGUAAUGAGUACAAACACAUCUCUAAUUCUUGAGGGUGAAAUGCAGUUGAUUCAAAAUCACCCCCGGAUGUAAGGAACACGUAAUAAUGCAUCCUGGAUAUAUUCAGGUGGCUUCUGGUUCGAUUUUUAUGAAAAUAGUCCAAAAUGGUCGCACAAGUUCUGCCCAACUAAGUCCCUUCGUUCUUGAAGUGUUUGUGGUUGAAUCGUAAAGGAGACUUGCAAGGGAUUUCGAGUGUUUAUGGUGAAGUUUUUUCUUUUCUUUUUUUCCUUUGGAUCUUAUGAUAUCUGACCCCAAAAAUCAUUAAUUUGAACAGUUGAAAUUUACCUUGAAAGAUUAGUUCAUAACUUACUCAAGGAUUGCGCUUGGAAUUUGUUUAAGAAAAAUAAAUAAAAAUCAAAUUUUAAUUAUUGAUUUUUACUCAGAUUUCAUUAAUGGAAGAAUUAUGAAAGGAGAAACUCGAAGCAUUUUUUUAUCAUAUUUUAACCGACAAUAUACCUUCAAGGUAUCUUGUCGAAAGUAAUUUAUGAAUUUUGGGAAUAAAUAAAGCAGCUUCAUACUCAAGGAAAAUAAGCUAUAUUCCCAAGGAAAAUCUCCCUCAAGUGGUUUCUUGGGUUUGAAGAACAGAGUUGAACUUAAAUCUUAUACUGGCAAGGAUUGAGAAUCUCCAAUGAACCCCGGAAAACUAUAAACUGUCCAAUGCAUUUGACACCCGACAAUUCCUGGACUAAUAAAAACUUUCCCAGUUUACCCGAAUUUCCAAAGAACACUAAAUCGUUUAGCCACCGAACAAAUUAAAGACCGUGACGGACCAAUCUUUUUAGUGAACAUAGAUUGAUUACAUGUCUUUCAAAUACUUAAUUUCCAUUUACUUAAUCUUUUUACUUAAUACAUGUAUAAUUAUGUUUUCAAACGCUCACUAAAUAUUAACGGAGAAGAUUGAAUUUUGAACUUCAAGAAUAAGAAUAGCAGGGAAAUCUACAAUUUAUAUUAGGAUUUUGCCUCCUAAAUGACACGAUAUUUAUUGCAAAGAUUUUUUUCUUCAAAUGGUGUCAUGUGAAUCUCAGCACAUUUAAUGUCAUAGCUAUAAUCAUCUAAUAAAAUGAUUUUUUUUUUUAAAAAUAGACAAGCAUGUUAUUUUUUAAAAAAUUAUUAUCUAAUCACCACUGUUUUAUAAAUAAAAAACAGUGAUAAUUAUUUUUCAAAGUAUUUUAAUUUUUAAAAUACAUUAAAAUAUUUUUUUAUUUUUUAAAAUUUAUUUUUGACACUAGCAUAUUAAAAUGAUAAAAAAAUCAUGUAAAAAAAUAUUUUUUUAAAAAAAUAACAUUUUUACAACAAAAACAAUCAAGGUAGAAGUAGAAAAAGUUAGAAAAAAAUGAUUUUUCUAAGAGUUCAUUUGUUUUUACAUUUUAAAAAUGUUUUUGAAAAUAAUUUUUUUUUUACUUCAAAUUAAUAUAUCUUAAUAUUUUUCAUAUCAUAUUGAUGUGUUAAUACUAAAAAUAAAAAAAAUUAUUCAAUAUAUUUCAAAGUAAAUAACACUAUAAAAAAACAACCACUACUACAAUACUUAAAAAUCAUGCUUUUUAAAGUGAUUGGGAGUUUUAUUGCCGUUACUUUUUAAAGUGCUUUUUAUUUAGAAAAGCAUGCUAAAAAUAUUUUUUUAUAUUUUAAAAAUUAUUUUUAAGAUUAACACAUCAAAAAAAUUUAAAAACAUAAAAAAACAUAUUAAUUUUAAAAAACAAAUUUAAAUUUUUUAAAAAACACUUUUCACCAACAAUGCGAAACACCCUCUAAUCCACUUUUAAGUUUGCAUGUCGACCAGAAUGAAAAUUUAAAAUCAUAUAGUUACUAUAAAAUUCAAAACGCUGUAUUUUCUUUUGCACCCACGUAUAAAAAGUAGCGGCAAGUAUGAGAAGGAAGGAGGAAUUGAGUUCAAAACUCACCUCUUUUUAGAGUUCAAAACACAUGCUAAAGACCUAUGAAUAUGUCACUGUACAUUCACAGGCAUUCAUUAUUCACCAAACAAUGGAUACCUUCCGUUACUGCUUGGACCAGAUUAGAUUUUGGAUUUACAAUUAUAAUCUUCUUAAGACAACAACAGGAGAGGAUGGCAGAGAGAAUAAAGAAAGAAGGAAAGCCCACCUCACAAUCUCACAUCAGUGCUUCUCACGCCAAAACAAUCACUAACUUCAGACCGAGAAUGUAUCAAAAAGGAAACAUAAAACAACUUCUCUGUCAAUCCCAUUAUCUUGAAUUUUAUAGCCCACCACAACCCUCUUGUUCCCUUUUCUUCACCUCCCAAGGUUCUCUGUUUUUUCUUAUCCUUUUAUAGCGCCAGGAGUUGAAUAUAGACCAUACACUGAUACAAAUGCAUGUAGUGUGUGUCUAUAUAUCUGAACUUCAAUCUUGAUUCUGUUUCUUGGGUCUCUUUUCUUUCCUUUUCUUUUUAUCUUGUUGGAAAGAUAGAGAUGGGGUUGAGAAGUGCUUGGUUAGUGGUGGUGUUUUUGUUUAUUGGGGUUGCUGUGGCAAAGAAUGUGAAUGGGUUGAAUGUAUGGCCAAUGCCGAAGCGGGUGUUGGGCGGAAUCCGGGGACCGGUGAUGUACUGAUAAUUGCUCAACAGAGGAAUAAGCACACAGACACAAUAAUUUACGUGGUUCGGCAAAACCGUCUACAUCCACGGGAAAGAUAAUAUUAUUUGAGGUAGAGAAAGAAUACAAUAAAUACAUGGAGGAGGAUAUAAUCACUCAACUCCCAUCUCACUCUCGUUGCCUUGCAGCUGCAGGGCUGCUGCCAUGGGCAGCAGCCCUUUCUCUUCUCUUUCUCUUCACCCUCACGUUAUUCACAACUCUCCCAAAGCUCUCUUUGUAUGGUGCCUAUUUAUAGGCAUGAUGGUGGCUUCUCUUCUUCUUUCCAGCAGCUGCAGCUGCAAUCAAUGGUGGCUGCCAUCUUCUUCAACAAAGGCUGCUGGUCAAUGUUUGGUGGGGGUUGGUGGUAGUGUAGAAUCAAUGGCAAUACCUAACAAUCACCCCCUUUGCCAUUUAUGUGGGCAAUUGUCCUCUUGCUUCUUCAGCACAAUCUUGCAUCCUGCAGCUCUUCCAAGCUUACCAUUCCGAGAGCGUCUCUGGCCAAGUUUACAGGUACUCGCCAAACCUUCCAAUCACCAGAGUCACUAAAGCACACCCUUGCUUACACCAAAGGAUCACUUUAACCAGAUGGUCUCACACAUCACAUCUGAAGAGUGUUAACGCUUGUCUCUGGGAACAUUCCCCUUCGAGCGUAUCAACCAUGCUCGGUCCGGAAUGAUUUAUCAAGCCUCACACCAAGGCUUACAACACCCCCUCAAACGGAUAUUCCAAGUGCGACAGUCAUUAUCUGAGUAUCUCAAUAUGAUCACAAGCCCACCACUCUUCCAAGAGUCUACUCAUCCAGGAGUUGCGCCUGCCCUCUGUUCCACCAUAGGAACCACGCCUUACUUCUCCGUGAGUCUCUCGCUCUUAGUCGUAAGAGUCCAGGUAGCUCUCCACCUUUAACCAUGGGGCAGCCCAUUAAAGGUUGAUCCAUUAUGUCUUCAUACUCUGAGUAUUACAAUGCCAUCACCGAGCUCACCACCUUGACAAGAGUCAACUCGUUCCGGAACCUGCGCAUGCCCUCUGCUCCUUCAUAGCAGUCGCGUCUUAAUGCUCCACAAGUCACACACUUAUUGUCCAAGGCAAAUGUCUUCUAGCUCAUUGAUCUUUAGCAUGGGGGCAAUAUCCAUGAAAGUCAAUCCUGCAUUUGUCUUCAUACUCAUCAUAGCCACUUCAUUGGCUAUCACCUGUCCACUUAUAUCAGCCAUCACAUCGGCUCUGGGGCGUUCUGUACUGGGCUCAUAUCUUGGCCCACACACCUUCUUCUCGGGUGUCUCCGCUCGUCGUCAUGCGGCGGUCUGAAAUGGGGCUCCUAUCGGCCCUCACACCUUCUCUAAGGUGUCUUCGCCUGUUGUCAUAGGCGUCUGAAUCUGGGGCUCUAUCAUGGCCCUCACACCUUCUCCUGAGGUUCUCCGCUCGUUGUGGAGCGGUCUCAUCCUCUUCAUCGGGAUGACUCCAGUGGCUCCAAGAUUCUCUACCACCAUGUGGACUUGGGAGAGAUUACAGCCACUGACUACAUAGAAAGAGAAAGUUACGGUAUACUCCUCGCAAUCCUCCACCUCGAUUUCUAUGUUUGGAGCUUCUAUGCCUUUCUGCUUGACAGCUCCACCUACACCAACUCUCUUUGGUGGCUUCGCCUUUCAUCAUAGGCGGUCGCCUUUUAUCACAAGCGUUUGUACCCCCUCAAUUAGGUGCCUCUGCAACAGCUCUCUUUCCAUCCUUGCAUGCAUUGGAAAGGUCUUCGUUUGUUGUCUUCAUCAAGAGCAUAAGAGACUUCCUGUUGUACAAACUUUAACAGUCUCUGCUCUGAGCUUCAUCUGGGAACACUUCUUCUCCUUGCACAUGUUGUCUCAUUACAGUACCUCGUUGGAUCCCUCGGGUACUCUUGCACAAUCUUCGUGUGCCCUCGUGCAAUUACUGUUCUCCAUAUUUCUCCCUAUUCCUUGCUUAUGUUUGACAGCAGCUCAUCCCGUCACAACACCUGUCCAAGUCAAAAUAGGGUGCCAAUCUUUAUCCCCUUGCUGUAUUUCUCUUCCAUUAUCAGGGUCUUCAUCAAUUCUCCCUUCGAGAAACACAGUCACCGAAUCUGCCUUCUUUGGAGAAAUCACCACUCCAUCAGAUCCUUGAUCAUGCGGAACCCAACUGUUCCCCUUGUGCCGUCAUCCUGCUAGUCUUCAACGUUUCAUUACAAACUGCUAUAUAUACGAAAAUAGUACCGUAUGGAUAAUCCUUCCACUAAGCAAGUUCCCAGGAAAGAUUGGAGGGGUCACAACGGUCCCGCUUAAAACCCAAUCUCCUAGACAGAACUUCUUAGGCCAUAUCUAUCCAUCGUACUGUCUCUCCGUAUAUACAACCAUUUGCUAGCUUUGUUGCGGCUUUCCUUUACAAGUGAUCUGGAAUAUACAGGUUUAAUACAUGAUUUCUCAACAUCUACGAGACUACCAGUGCUUAGAUUCGUCAAGAUUGGUCUUCGUCAAUUUCACUCUCCACCUCAAAUCGUCCACAUGACCGGGUGUCCAGAGUGUCCCAAUUUUUCCUUCCAUCAAGGCAUUAUAUUUCCCCAUUAAAUAGUUCAGCACAUGUAAUUGGGUAAACAUGUGCACCCUUUUCUUCUUCAUCUCCAUCGACCACCAUGAUGACCUUCAGAUGCCUCCUGAUCGGGCAAUCUCUCUUUAAUAAUUCACCACCGCCAUUUUUGGUCUCGAAUCUCAACGAUCGGACCGUACCAUUGCAUCUGGAAUGAUCAAAUUAGCUGGAAACAUGUCUUGAAUCGUCCAAAUCACACUUCAGACGGCUACGUUUUGAUCAAAACAAUUCUGGCCUGAUCAACGAUUCAGAUUCAAUCUCAGAUCCGGUUGCACGUAGACUCUGCUGCACAGAAUCCUAUCCCUCGGCUCGGCUCCAACUUGGCUCGGCUCGAGGCUGAUGACGUGGCCGGUGGGUCCCACUAUGCUGACAUGGUUGUUGACUGGUCAAUGCAUGCUGAUGCCAUCGUUACAUAAGGUUGAUGUCAUCCUCUGUAUGUUACUGCUCAUUAAGAUACUGUUCACUAUGGUACUGUUCAUAUAUGAUACUGUUCACAAUGGGUCGGGUCAACCCAUCCGGGUGAAGAAGACGCGUGGGGCGCGUCUGUGCGCGUGGGCAGACGCCUUGCCGGAGAGUGAUGGAGAGUGCGGCCAUGUCCGACGUCCGAUUUUGACGCCGUUUUCACCAAUGGCUUCGUCUCGUCCUCCUCUACACAGUGGAAUGGUCAAAACACCAUUUUGACAACUUGCAUUUUUGAGCAAAAAAUCAAACACCACUUUAAACCAUGUGCUCUGAUACCAAUUGUUGGGCGGAAUCCGGGGACCGGUGAUGUACUGAUAAUUACUCAACAGAGGGAUAAGCACACAGACACAAUAAUUUACGUGGUUCGGCAAAACCGUCUACAUCCACGGGAAAGAUAAUAUUAUUUGAGGUAGAGAAAGAAUACAAUAAAUACAUGGAGGAGGAUAUAAUCACUCAACUCCCAUCUCACUCUCGUUGCCUUGCAGCUGCAGGGCUGCUGCCAUGGGCAGCAGCCCUUUCUCUUCUCUUUCUCUUCACCCUCACGUUAUUCACAACUCUCCCAAAGCUCUCUUUGUAUGGUGCCUAUUUAUAGGCAUGAUGGUGGCUUCUCUUCUUCUUUCCAGCAGCUGCAGCUGCAGUCAAUGGUGGCUGCCAUCUUCUUCAACAAAGGCUGCUGGUCAAUGUUUGGUGGGGGUUGGUGGUAGUGUAGAAUCAAUGGCAAUACCUAACAGCGGGUGAGUAGAGGGCACAGCAGGGUUUACAUGAGUCAAGAUUUUCAGCUAGUUACUGAUGGGAGCAAGUACAUUGAUGGCUCUGAGAUUUUGAAGGAUGGAAUUACAAGAAUGCUUGAUGUAGUGAAAGUUGCUCAUGUUGUUGAUGGUGAUCUUUCUAGCGUAGACAAGUCUCUCAUCAUUAAAGGAAUUCGUGUUCUUAUUUUCUCAUCAGAUGACCAGGUAUGGAGUCAUUGGUUAUCAAUUAUCUUUCCAGUCAGAGCCUUUUCUUUUCUGAUUAUUACCUGAUCAGUUCAUUCACACGGGCCUAAAGAUUAAUGUUUUAAAGUCUGGGAAUGUGAUUCUUCUGAGCUAGGCUAAGAAGAAGUCAUGUUCUCCUUUUUCUUUCCACUUGUAUAAAAAUUUUCAUUAUCACCCGCUGACAACUUUUUUAAAAAAGUUGUUUUUUUUCCCGAUCUUGAAAUACAAAGUGAUGUGCAAUUUGAUAAUCCUUUUGUUUUAACUUAUUUUUCACUAAAUACAACAAUUAUUAGGAAGUAAUCAAGUAUGAGCUGUAGCUAUCAUUAAGUUUUAUUUAAACAACAAUCAAGGUUUUUUUUUUUGUGCAUUUUAGAUGAAAUCUAGAGAGCUCCUUCCUUUAAUUUAGAUUAAACAAACGCUCCUUCUUCCUGUAUUGUGGUGUGCUUUUACAGUUACAAUAUGGUGUUGCCGAGUCAUACAAACUGCUGGUUCCUUCACCAGAGAUGCCAGAUUACGUCCAUCUUGAGGUGGGUGCGCAACCACUACCUUUUAUCUUUUUAGCUGCUGUUUUGUUUAACAACUCACACCUGUCCAACUCAAUUGUAAUAAGUAUCUUUCUCAAGGAAGAUGUUCAAAUAGUAAGACUUGAAAGAAAAUGCUGCUGGAUUUUGUCUGACAUUUCCUAAAAUAGUUUUCAUAUAUUUAUGUUGAAAUGUAGCUUUGACAUAUUUGGAUGUGCCAUAUAGCCAGCGCAUUGACAAAUGUUUCCAGUCUCAAAGGAAUUAUUCGAUGUCCUAUCUAGAUUAGUGAACUUAAACCUAGUAUUUGCUUAAGAGACGGGUCAAUCAUGCAUUGUAGAGAACUAAUAACAUUAAAUCAUGUUUUAUAAAAUCUUCCACUAUCAUGAUUAUAAUCAAUGAUGGAGUGGGACCUUGCUGAAGCAUGGUUGUUUUUUUCAUAAUUUUUGAACUCAUGUUCUGUCGAGGCACCAAAUUGAUACAUUUAAUGGUCAAUGCUGAGUUUGGUCUACAUCAGUAAGCUUUGAUUCAUGUAAAUUGUUUGAUCAAUUCAAAUUCUGUCUGGCAACAUUACAGGCGCAGACUGUUUAUGGGGCGUUACAUGGGCUUCAGGUUUUAUACUAAUCCUUAAGACAUGAAAUUGUAUCUCUUUUGAUAUUCCUACCAAGUUCAAAAUUGUCUAAGUUUACAUGACAUUAAAUUUUGUAGACAUUCAGCCAAUUGUGUCAUUUUAAUUUUACAAGUAGACUGAUUGAAGUUCACAUGGUCCCGUGGACUAUCAUUGAUCAACCAAGAUUCUCUUAUCGAGGGCUCUUGAUUGGUGAGUUGUUUUCUGCAGUCCUUUUCUGUAAUAUGUUUAGUUUACUUUUGAUGUAUAUGUAUUUCAAAGGCCCUGCUGAGGGCUUUAUUCCAUGUACUAGCUUCUGGUUUGAUAAGGUUGGCAAUUACUACUGAAGGUUUUGAUGGGAAGAAAGUUUACUUCUUGUGAAAUGAAGUCUGGAGGGCUAUCCCAAGCUGACAUUGGGCCACUUGAAAAGCUUGAUGUCCAAUUGUUUGGUCGAUUCUGUUUUUAUAUCUCAAAUCCACUCUGUAUUUUCAAAUUCUAAUGUGCUUGUCUGACUUACAAGUGGAAUUUGUGCAGAUACAUCAAGACACUAUCAGCCAGUGCCAAUGAUUAAGAAAGUAAUUGAUUCCAUGGCCUAUGCAAAAUUGGUAUGUGAUGCAUAGUUAACUAAUCUAUAGUUGAGAAUCUUUUAGAAUAUUAGGUGAAAUAAAUACAUAUUUGUUCUAAUGUUUGCUGGAAAAUAAUCAUUUGUAUUUUGCUUUUAGCAUUGAAGGUAUAAGAGGUUUUCAUGAUCGCAUUUGUUGAGGAGUAUCAUCCCCUAUAUCUGUUCAUAACCAUUUGCUAGGAUUUAGUUUGCCUGAAUUAGCUUCUUCCUCUAUAGGGACAGCAAUGAAGUUUGGGAAAUCUUGCAUCCAUAAAAAGGAUAGGAAAUAGUAAUUUGCCCAGCAGUGUUUAAGCCUUGGAUCUUGCACCAGGAAACCUAUCCAACAUGAAAUGAGACAGAAAUUUGGCAACUGUCGCUUGAAUCCUUUUUGAACAGAAAAUGGUGUUAACACAACAAUUUACUGUAAUUAGCAGUUUGUUGAUACGGCUUACUUUGUAACAAGAUGUAAUGUUGUUUCACACUGACCUUACGUUGAUUUUUAUCAUCUAGCCUGUUGUAAGAACUCAGAUAGCUGUGGUAUUAAUCAUCUAGCUUGUUGUAUUAACAGAAUUAGUCGGGGAGAAGUGGAUUUUCCUUGCAGAAGGUGUUAGCAGGUCAAUAAAACUAUUGAAAAACAAUACCCGUCAUUGGCCUUUUAUGAUUUUAUUCUGUUGCAUAUGCAGAAUGUGUUGCACUGGCACAUUGUAGAUACCCAAUCGUUCCCUUUGGAGAUACCUUCAUAUCCACAUCUGUGGGAUGGGGCUUAUUCAGUUUCAGAGCGGUACACAUUUUCUGAUGCUGCUGAAAUUGUGAGGCAAGUGAUUCUGCUGUCUUCACCUUCUACAAACUUAUUGUCUAUGUAGUUUUUCAUCUCUUAUGUCAAGAAAAAAUUUGCAGUUAUGCUCAAAGGAGAGGAAUUAAUGUAUUAGCUGAACUUGAUGUUCCUGGACAUGCUCUCUCAUGGUAAUAGUAACAUCUCAUAUGGUGGUUUUCUUGUUGUCUCAGUUAUAUUCCUUUUAAAAAUUACUGUGUGUAUGAGAUCAGGAUGCAAACUUUUAACCCCAAAAUUGACACUUUUCAUUUUAAAAAAGAAUCUUAUCCUCUUCAAGUGAAUAAUGUCAGGAUUUGAAUUUUGAUCAUUCAUGCUUCUGCAAUAGCUACAGAAAAAUUCCCAGGAAAAGACUUUAUAGAUCAUGACUGGCUGAUGUAAUGACUGCCAUGUCUUUCCAGGUGUUGGGGGGAAUAUUUAUACAGCUUUCUAAUUUAGUUUUUGCAAGAUGCUAGAUAACAACAAUCUAUAUUUCUUAACGGAUAGAAUUUAAGAAUUCAUCGGAAUUAUCACAGAAUUAGGUAAUGUUCAAUCCAUGAGGAUGUGUAGAACAUUUUUUCAUAAGUCAAUAUGAGAAGCUGCCAUUGGUCACUUGACUUGAUGAUGAUGUGUCUUUCUGUUGACCUGUAUGAUUUCCCUAUAGAUGUUCUUCCUCUCAAACAAUAGAGUUGGGUACUUAUAACACCCUGCCAGCUUGUAUCCAAGAAAACUGCUUGUUUUCAAAAGUUUUGAGGUUAUAAAGAUGUUAUUUUAUGAGUAAUGCUGGCAAACCAAAAGGUUAUUUGUAGCUCAUGGAUCUAUUGCAGUUAGCCUCAGUGAACUUUCUGCAGAAGUGAUGAAUGCUAAUGGUUUUCAGGGCCAAACAUGAGAAGGAUUAAGGGCUAUUGUUUAGUGAUAUCUGGUGAAAGUCUAGGUUGGUGACCAAGGCAUUGUAGAUACGAGGCCUGGGGGUAGCCAUUUGAUGCAAAAUGCUGCAGCGCCGAACCAUUUUCAGAGUUCCUUUCCUAGGAUUGUACUUCUAUGGGACGACAAAUGGGCAAGCCUUUAUGGCUAACUCAGACUUCGGUGCAUAGUUUAGAUUGUCACGAAUUUGUGACUUUGUAUUUUAAAAACCUAUGGCAAGGCGGGUUCUGUAGGUUUCCCUUGUUGCCAAAAGAUGCAAACUCACAAAAACAAUAAAAAUAUUUGACGUUUUCCAUUUCUUUGCAAUAUGGCCAUUAUGAUAGAAUGGUAUCACAAACUAUGAUCUCCAAAUGACUUAAAUGGAUAUUUUUCCCCUGUAAUUAGGGGGCAUGGCUAUCCUUCUCUAUGGCCAUCAAAAGACUGUCAGCAGCCACUUGAUGUCAGCAAUGAGUUUACAUUCAAAGUGAUAGAUGGGAUUCUUUCAGGUAAUGCCUGCACUUUCAAUUUGGAACAGUGUGGUUUGAUAUCAAUAAGUUUUCAUGUCAGAAGACUAAGAAAAUAUAUUUAAAUUUGCAAGUUAUCUUAAUUUGGGUGAAAACAAAAAUGAAAGGAUGAAAGGUUAACAUGAUUACUUUUUUCACGUUCAGAUUUCAGUAAGAUCUUUAAAUUCAAGUUUGUUCACUUGGGAGGUGAUGAAGUUGACCCAAGUAAGUUCAAUAGUUAUAUUUUGCUAUCACCAUUUUUGUAUUAAUUGUUUAUUGUUCAUGGAACUUUUUUUUUUUAUUAUUAUUAUGUUCCUUGGCCUCUGGGGAUUUUCUUUCCUUUUAUCAUAUCUUUUCUUCUUUUAUUUUUGGGUGUAUGUGUUGAAACAUGAUAUUUGAUGUUAAUGAAAAUAUAGGGGCCGCAGGUUACUUGCUUCCGUUUGCUCUUAAUUUUUGAAAUAUAUAUCUAUGGAGCUUCACAUUAUUGACAUGCAACUUUAUGAGUCUUUUUCAGGUUGCUGGACAACAACUCCCCACAUAACAAAAUGGUAACAAUCCCACGAAUUCUACAUGCAAAGUAACUGAUGUUUCUUUUCUUCUCUUUUUUUCUGUAGACACCGAGUAUAUCACAUUAUUAUCUUCAUGCUUGAUGUCCACAACCAUAUUUUCCUCCUUUUGUAGUUAAUCCAUGUGGAUUUACGUGGGUACUGUGUGUUUGCUGUACAUGACAUCACCGUUACAUUCUAUGCCAAUGUUAUUUUAUGAUUACCGCUAUUAUUGAUUUCCUGAGAAAUAACUAGCAUGUCAGACUCACAGCUAUUUCUUUUAGUUUUUGUUUUUCUCCCAUUGCAUGUAACUUGAAAGAGCAUGCAAUUGUAACAAAAGAGAGAGGGCAUGUAAAUUGUAUUCGUAUUGUAUGUUGUUUGACCUUCAUCUUUUUGCAGAAUUGCAUUCUGACUAUUCUGAAACCUGCAGGUUAAAAGAGCAUCGAAUGAAUGGAUCUCAAGCUUAUCAGUACUUUGUCUUGCGGGCACAGAAAAUAGCUUUGUCCCAUGGAUUUGAAAUAGUUAACUGGUACGAACAAUUCUGGAUAAGGUUAGAUAUCAAAUUUCACUGGUUUUAUAUCUUAUCCAAUCGUGCAAUGAAACAGGGAGGAGACCUUCAAUGACUUUGGAAAUAAAUUGAGCCGGAAGACUGUGGUGCAAAAUUGGUAUGCCAUACUUUCUGCAUAAUUUCAUAAAAUGACCUUGUUAUGAUGCAUCUUAACAUGGCCACCCUGUAGAUCAGUAGAUGAACAAAUAUGAGCAUCAUUUAUCCAUGAUGCAACCGUCUAUUUGCUUGUUGGACUUGUAGUAUUGAGAGACUAGAAUCAAGAUUAUAUAAAAAAUGGGAAAAGCUCCCCUGUGCAGAAUAUGAAUUUUGGUUAAUCGAUACAGCUAAACUUGACUUGAUAAGGGUGUUAAGAUGUUUUAGUCCAUCUGCAAUGCUAAUUGUGACAAGUAAUUUUUAUAUGCUAGAAAAAGUCAAAUGUAGUAGUUGGUAAAGAGUGUUGUUCUCGCUACUAUUCAUUCUCACUACUUAAAUAUUUGCUAGUUCUGAAGAGUGACAUCUGGUUCACCUGGUCCAAGUCCAUUAAUGUUUAGAUGAAAACUUCAGGAACUCUUUCUCUUUGUGAAUUAUUGUUGAACCAACAAUUAAAAUUACUGUAGAUAUUAGACAAUCAGUGAACAUUGUUGAGUUAAUUACACUAUGUAAACAAAAAUGUUCUGGACACCUUUUCCACCAAGCAAAUAGAUCUUAGAGAUGAUUGUAUUUGCACUGCCAUAAUAAUUUUGUCUGUCCUUGUAUUUCGGGCACACUUGAUCUUUAGCAUACAAUUUUCUUUGCAGGCUUGGAGUUGGAGUUGCUGCGCAAGUGGUUGCAUCUGGGUUGAGGUGCAUUGUGAGCAACCAGGACAAAUGGUAUCUAGAUCACUUGAAUAUUCCUUGGGAAGAGUUCUAUAAGAAUGAACCACUUACAAAUAUAACAAACCCCGAGCAACAGAGUUUAGUUCUUGGGGGGGAAGUAUGCAUGUGGGGAGAAACAGUGGAUGCGUCAAACAUUGAACAAACCAUAUGGCCACGUGCUGCAGCUGCUGCAG